UCUGAGAUUCUAGAAGUAGAGUUUAGAUUUCCCUCACCAACGCUUAGAUUAUUUGCUUCAAAAGGAGCCGCUCACCUGGGGCCUUCGCCUGAGACCUGGAACCUACCUACGUGAUGCAUCCUUUGGAAAGGGAUCCAAGAAAGAGGGGAAGAAAAGUGCAUUUACCUGUCCAAGGCUGGGAAUGAAAAUGGGUGGGUCGGAGGCCAGCCAGGUUUUACUUUCCCUUCUCUUUCUUUUUCCUCUCUCUCUCUCUCUCUCUCUCUCUCUCUCUCUCUCUCUCUCUCUCUCUCUGUGGGCAGAGGCCAGGUUCCCUGGGGAAGGAUGGACAGAGAGACAGCUCCAGCUUGCUGCCCUGGAUGUGUGUGUGUGUGUAUGUUUGGCCAGGAGGGAGCCCCCACAAUCUCCCCUGAGAGAACCUAGGAGGCUGCAGGUGAGCCCCAGGACAGGUGAUUAGAAGGUGAGGCCCCGGCAGAGGAGACUUAAGGGUGACUUCUGGGCUGCUGGGGGAGAAGGAAAUGCCAAGCCAAGAAUUCUCCUGGAAGAAGCAGAACGGAGAUGGUACAAAAGUACCUCUUAUGGAGGAUACUGAAUAUGGGAGAAAAUUUGGAUAAGUCAUUUGAAGUACCGAGGAUUGCAAAGGCAAGUUUAAAUAAUAGGGCUAUUGCAAUGCUUUCUGAGGAUUGGGAGAUCUAUUAACUAUGUGGCUUUUUAAAUUUUUAUUUUAUUGCUUAGAAUAAACAAGUUUGGGUGGAGGUGAAUUGCUCUGUAAAUUUGCAUAAUAUUUUCUACUUUUCUUCCAUAUAGUACUGGCUCUGUAGAAAAAAAAGUAAUCUGAGUUUUAUUAAGGGGAAAGAAUUUUGGAGGAAAAAAAGUGUCACAUGAUUGUGGGAUGUGUAAUAUAAAGUAUCCUCUUUGAUACCCAUACAACACUUCAGCAAAGCACCCUGUGCUUACUAGGACUCUUUCUUCUUCUUUUUUUUAUGGUUUCAGUUUUAAAAAAUUUGUUCUAAUUAGUUAUACAUGAUAGUAGAAUGCAUUUUGACACAUUGUAUACAAAUGAAGCAUAACUUUUCAUUCCUUUGGCGGCACUUGGUGCUGAGUCACAUCAGUAGUAUAAUCAUACAUGCAUAUAGGGUAAUAAUGUCUGUUUCAUUCUACCUAUUUGUUUGAGGUAAGGGACAGAGUGGAAGAGAACCAAAGGGAUGCACAAAGGUGACCUGUGGUGGAUGUGCUAGACAAAAUGUUUAGAGAAUUAGACAAGAGUUGACAUCAAGGUGACAUCAAUCUCUGAGAUUGUCAUUCAUUUGGACUGGAGUGAGACUUGGACAUGAACAUUUUUUUCAAGAUCCAAAUGAGUGUAAACAUGUGCAGCCAAGAUUGAGAACUAAAGUGGAAAAUCUAACCUAAUCCAGACAAGACAAUCGUGUGCCUUUAAAGGAUCUAACAGCAAGAAUUAGGAGUGCCCUGGAGGCAAGGUAAAAUUUGGCCCAUGUAAUCAAUCAUAUCUGCUUCACUGAACUGUAAUGACCCUGAGUACAGAAGACAUCUUCAGUGGGACAGACUCACUGCCAUGAAGUCCUUAACAUUUUGUGGGUUAGAAAGCAGUUUUUACAUUUAGAUUCUGCCUUGUUUAGUCAUAGUCUACUCUUCUCCUCUUAGGUAUAGGUGAGUCUAUUGGUGUGUAGUUAUGAUAGUAUAUCAAAAUAUAAAUAUCAGUAGAUCAGAAGAUGAGCUGGCCUUUUAAAAAAUACGUCUCUGAUUCUUCAAGUUAAAGAACAGAAUCAAUUGCACAUAGUCCCCAACAUCACAAUAGCCACUUACAAACAGUAGAUAGUUUUAGUUGCCCUGGAUUUCAUCAAGAUUGAUUCCUCCCAAACCAAGUAACGUCAAAGACUUGGAGGUAGAUAUAUGACCUUGAAGAACAAUUUCCAGGAGACACAAAGUAAAACAAUUUUCUAGUGUCAGCACUAGGGUAAAAGGCUAUAAUGUUGUCAGACUCACCAAAUUAUAAUAGCAACCAAUAAAACUAUUACAAAUGGCAGCUUAGUAGGGGAAGUCAUUUUAUCAUUGAGCUUUCUGGUUUCUGUUUUUAUUGAAGUUCAGAUACAUACCUUGUAUUUUUUGGAACCAUGGAGAGGUGAUAUUAAGUCUGUAAAAUCUAGGAACUUCUUUGCAUACACUUCCCAUACUUUCAUAUAUCAUAAAAGAGAAAUUGAGGGAAAAAUCAGUAGUCAACGU
Marmota monax (woodchuck) is the source of this 2238-nucleotide long non-coding RNA. RefSeq lists it as uncharacterized. The record is from RefSeq and is a predicted model, not a curated record. NCBI's taxonomy places the organism in Eukaryota, Metazoa, Chordata, Mammalia, Rodentia, Sciuridae. The transcript has 4 exons.